Molecule: unclassified non-coding RNA, 462 nt
Filed under: Anaueria brasiliensis
Lineage: Eukaryota; Viridiplantae; Streptophyta; Magnoliopsida; Laurales; Lauraceae
Description: psbA-trnH intergenic spacer region
Source: RNAcentral
GCUGCUGUCGAAGUUCCAUCUACAAAUGGAUAAUACUUUGGUUUUAUGGAUAAUACUUUGGUUUUAGUGUAUACGAGUCGUUGAAGGAUUAACACCAAACUUCUUGUUCUAUUAAGAAGUUUGGUAUUAAUCCUUCAACGACAGUAUUUUAUUCACAUAAUCGGUUUUCAUUUUCAUUUUUUUUAUUCAACUUAUGGAAACCGCUGGUUAUUUCAUGAUCGAAUAUCGUAGUUUCUUUUGUACCAACCUGUAAUUUAUAUACUACAUUCUUAUCCUUCAAAAUCAUUUGAUUUUUUCCUAUUUUAAAGGAUUGGCAUUUUCGGUACAAUAUCUGUAUGUCAGUAGGAAGGAGAGUGAAGUAAUAAAGACUCAAUAAAAAAAUAAUGAGUGGCCAAAAAGGAAUCCCUUUAAGAGAGGAGGGGCGGAUGUAGCCAAGUGGAUCAAGGCAGUGGAUUUGUGAAU